AUCCCCGAGCAUGUCACCGUUUCUAUCCUGUGCCAAUCCUUCUCCGAAUCGAGCGACACCUUCCUGCGUCCCUGCCUCUCUCGCAUCACCAAAGUUCCUGAAAAGACACGGAUCACUUCCAGCUCCAAGGAAACAACCAGAAAGCAGCAACUUGAAGAGAAGUACCUCAUCACUGCCGCAGCUCAACGUCGAGCCAGCCCACCUCCGCUCCAUGUCUUUCGUUGGAACUCACGAGUACUUGGCACCGGAGAUCAUCGCUGGUGGUGGUCACGGCGGCGCUGUAGAC
Molecule: long non-coding RNA, 286 nt
Filed under: Selaginella moellendorffii
Lineage: Eukaryota; Viridiplantae; Streptophyta; Lycopodiopsida; Selaginellales; Selaginellaceae
Description: long non-coding RNA (SMOE_LNC000148)
Source: RNAcentral